RNAcentral lists this unclassified non-coding RNA (308 nucleotides) under Hevea brasiliensis (rubber tree). The record is from RNAcentral. Lineage: Eukaryota; Viridiplantae; Streptophyta; Magnoliopsida; Malpighiales; Euphorbiaceae.
UCAUUUAAAGCCGCUGGCUAGGGAGCUUUUGAACUUGGCAGGAGCUUUCAAUAUUGCUGACUAUGUUCCUUUUUUAGGAGCAUUUGAUCUUCAGGGAUUGACAAAACGUAUGAAGUCAUUUAGCAAGGCAAUGGACACAAUCUUGGAGAAGAUAAUUUGUGAACAUGAAAGGGAAGCUCGAUGGAAAAAGAAGCAGCAAAUGAAGAAUUUCGUUGGUGUGUUACUUUCUUUGAUGAACCAACCCAUGACAUCCAAUGAAGAGGUACUUUACACGCUCGAUAGAGCCCACAUAAAAGCUAUCUUAAUAG